UUUUGAAUUUUUUGUUCUGGCUCAGGAUGAACGCUGGCGGCGUGCCUAACACAUGCAAGUCGAGCGAUCUCUUCGGAGAGAGCGGCGGACGGGUGAGUAACGCGUGGGUAACCUGCCCUGUACACACGGAUAACAUACCGAAAGGUAUACUAAUACGGGAUAACAUACGAAAGUCGCAUGGCUUUUGUAUCAAAGCUCCGGCGGUACAGGAUGGACCCGCGUCUGAUUAGCUAGUUGGUAAGGUAAUGGCUUACCAAGGCAACGAUCAGUAGCCGACCUGAGAGGGUGAUCGGCCACACUGGAACUGAGACACGGUCCAGACUCCUACGGGAGGCAGCAGUGGGGAAUAUUGCACAAUGGGCGAAAGCCUGAUGCAGCAACGCCGCGUGAGCGAUGAAGGCCUUCGGGUCGUAAAGCUCUGUCCUCAAGGAAGAUAAUGACGGUACUUGAGGAGGAAGCCCCGGCUAACUACGUGCCAGCAGCCGCGGUAAUACGUAGGGGGCUAGCGUUAUCCGGAAUUACUGGGCGUAAAGGGUGCGUAGGUGGUUUUUUAAGUCAGAAGUGAAAGGCUACGGCUCAACCGUAGUAAGCUUUUGAAACUAGAGAACUUGAGUGCAGGAGAGGAGAGUAGAAUUCCUAGUGUAGCGGUGAAAUGCGUAGAUAUUAGGAGGAAUACCAGUAGCGAAGGCGGCUCUCUGGACUGUAACUGACACUGAGGCACGAAAGCGUGGGGAGCAAACAGGAUUAGAUACCCUGGUAGUCCACGCCGUAAACGAAGAGUACUAGGUGUCGGGGGUUACCCCCCUCGGUGCCGCAGCUAACGCAUUAAGUACCUCCCGCCC
This 842-nucleotide ribosomal RNA is filed under the name Paraclostridium benzoelyticum. Its description in RNAcentral is "bacterial SSU rRNA". It matches the Rfam family "Bacterial small subunit ribosomal RNA", at positions 9 to 873 of the family's 1533-position model. The record is from RNAcentral. Lineage: Bacteria; Bacillati; Bacillota; Clostridia; Peptostreptococcales; Peptostreptococcaceae.